Molecule: ribosomal RNA, 497 nt
Filed under: uncultured bacterium
Lineage: Bacteria
Description: partial 16S ribosomal RNA
Rfam family: Bacterial small subunit ribosomal RNA
Source: RNAcentral
GAUGAACGCUGGCGGCGUGCCUAAUACAUGCAAGUCGAGCGAACAGACGAGGAGCUUGCUCCUCUGACGUUAGCGGCGGACGGGUGAGUAACACGUGGAUAACCUACCUAUAAGACUGGGAUAACUUCGGGAAACCGGAGCUAAUACCGGAUAAUAUAUUGAACCGCAUGUUUCAAUAGUGAAAGACGGUUUUGCUGUCACUUAUAGAUGGAUCCGCGCCGCAUUAGCUAGUUGGUAAGGUAACGGCUUACCAAGGCAACGAUGCGUAGCCGACCUGAGAGGGUGAUCGGCCACACUGGAACUGAGACACGGUCCAGACUCCUACGGGAGGCAGCAGUAGGGAAUCUUCCGCAAUGGGCGAAAGCCUGACGGAGCAACGCCGCGUGAGUGAUGAAGGUCUUCGGAUCGUAAAACUCUGUUAUUAGGGAAGAACAAAUGUGUAAGUAACUAUGCACGUCUUGACGGUACCUAAUCAGAAAGCCACGGCUAACUACGUG